Oryzias latipes (Japanese medaka) is the source of this 784-nucleotide long non-coding RNA. RefSeq lists it as uncharacterized. Lineage: Eukaryota; Metazoa; Chordata; Actinopteri; Beloniformes; Adrianichthyidae. The record is from RefSeq and is a predicted model, not a curated record.
GGAUAGUCCAAUGACCUCAAAAGUUUUAUAAUCAUUGAACUCAAAAGUAACAAACAAGUUGAGUCAGCUUAAAACCUAUAAGCCGAUUCAACUUUUGCCACAGUUAUAUCUUUAUUGGACUAAAACAUUUUGAGUAAAUGAAACCUUGGAGUCAAAACUUAUGAGUAAUGAGACGUGAUGACGUCAUAACGUGCGCCCAUGAACGUGAACUCAGCCACAGAAGUCUUCAAGAUGGCGGAGGUCUGAUGCGAGUGUCAGCUGGCCCAAGUUGAUAACGCACAUACGUCUAGUGAACCGGCGGUGCGUUUGAAAAAUAAGAGCGGAGAUGUGAGCUGAAUUUCAUCGCAUCACAAAUUUCAACCUGUGAAAACCUGGACAGACAUAUGCAGAGGAUGCUGAUCUUUUUGAGACAGAAGGCAGCACGUACCGGAAGGCUGUAUGUGACAUUCUGCACCUCUAUGAUAAACAGCAAGAGCAGACUGCUGAUGUCAAAGGUACUCCUGUCCUGUACUGGCUUCUAAUAUACAAACGUGAGGAGGACCCACAAUUCUUCAAAGUUUGGAAUAUUAAAGAGUCACCAGAGGCAGACAUCAGCAGCACCUCUGUUGGCAUUCUGACCGUCAGCAACAACAAUACAAGUUCAGUGCAUUUCUGUCCGCUCAGUACAGCAGUUGUGGUGGAAGAUGAGCUUGUGGUAGGCAAAUUUCCUAAAUGGGUAUUUUUUUGAGCGCUAAUAUUUAUAGGGAAAGGGCAGCCUAAGAAAAUACUGUUUUAUGUGGGAAAA